GAUGAACGCUAGCGGCAGGCUUAACACAUGCAAGUCGAGGGGUAAGUCCCGACUUGUCGGGAACACGACCGGCGUACGGGUGAGUAACGCGUAUGUAACUUACCUCUAACUGGGGAAUAGCCCGAAGAAAUUCGGAUUAAUACCCCAUAAUAUCAUAGGAUCGCAUGUUCUUAUGAUUAAAGUUCCGACGGUUAGAGAUGGGCAUGCGUACCAUUAGCUUGUUGGUGAGGUAACUGCUCACCAAGGCUACGAUGGUUAGGGGGUCUGAGAGGAUGGUCCCCCACACUGGUACUGAGACACGGACCAGACUCCUACGGGAGGCAGCAGUGAGGAAUAUUGGGCAAUGGACGAAAGUCUGACCCAGCCAUGCCGCGUGCAGGAUGACGGCCCUACGGGUUGUAAACUGCUUUUGUACAGGAAGAACAACCACGACGUGUCGAGGUUUGACUGUACUGUACGAAUAAGCAUCGGCUAACUCCGUGCCAGCAGCCGCGGUAAUACGGAGGAUGCAAGCGUUAUCCGGAUUUAUUGGUUUAAAGGGUGCGUAGGCGGGACAGUAAGUCAGUGGUGGAAUCUCCCGGCUUAACCGGGAAACUGCCAUUGAUACUGCUUUCCUUGAGUGCAGUUGAGGUGGGCGGAAUGUGUAAUGUAGCGGUGAAAUGCUUAGAUAUUACACAGAACACCUAUUGCGUAGGCAGCUCACUAAACUGUAACUGACGCUGAGGCACGAAAGCGUGGGGAGCGAACAGGAUUAGAUACCCUGGUAGUCCACGCCGUAAACGAUGAUCACUCGCUGUUGGCGAUACACUGUCAGCGGCUGAGCAAAAGCAUUAAGUGAUCCACCUGGGGAGUACGACCGCAAGGUUG
RNAcentral lists this ribosomal RNA (867 nucleotides) under uncultured Bacteroidota bacterium. RNAcentral describes it as "bacterial SSU rRNA". It matches the Rfam family "Bacterial small subunit ribosomal RNA", at positions 28 to 896 of the family's 1533-position model. Lineage: Bacteria; Pseudomonadati; Bacteroidota. The record is from RNAcentral.